Molecule: ribosomal RNA, 346 nt
Filed under: uncultured bacterium
Lineage: Bacteria
Description: partial 16S ribosomal RNA
Rfam family: Bacterial small subunit ribosomal RNA
Source: RNAcentral
CCUACGGGGGGCAGCAGUGAGGAAUAUUGGUCAAUGGCCGGAAGGCUGAACCAGCCAAGCCGCGGGAGGGAGGAAGGCGCAGAGCGUCGCAGACCUCUUUUGCCGGGGGACAAAAGGCCGGACGCGUCCGGUCCUGAGGGUACCCGGAGAAAAAGCAUCGGCUAACUCCGUGCCAGCAGCCGCGGUAAUACGGAGGAUGCGAGCGUUAUCCGGAUUGAUUGGGUUGAAAGGGUGCGCAGGCGGGCCUUUAAGCCGGCGGUGCAAUCGCGGGGCUCCACCCCGCCGAGCCGUCGGAACUGGGGGCCUUGCGUGCGGCUGCGGCCUGCGGCCUGCGCGGUGUAGCGGU